AUGGCAGAACGGAUAGUCGCUGGUGGAGAAAUCCACGGGAGGAAAGUCCGGGCACCACAGAGCAGGGUGGUUCGUAACGCGAACCGGGGGCAACCCCAGUGCAAGUGCAACAGAGAGCAGACCGCCGGGCAUCGGCCCGGUAAGGGUGAAAGGGUGGUGUAAGAGACCACCGGUUCCCCUGGUGACAGGGGAAGCCAGGUAAACCACACCCGGUGCAAGACCAUAUAGGAAGGCAGAUGGAGUGGCUCGCUUCGCCUUCGGGUAGGUUGCUUGAGCUGUCGGGUGACUGACAGCCUAGAGAAAUGACUAUCACCCCCCUUGGGGGUACAGAACCCGGCUUACAGUUCUGCCAUAUCA
This 357-nucleotide RNase P RNA is filed under the name Desulfurispirillum indicum S5. RNAcentral describes it as "Bacterial RNase P class A". It matches the Rfam family "Bacterial RNase P class A". From Rfam's summary of the family: Ribonuclease P (RNase P) is a ubiquitous endoribonuclease, found in archaea, bacteria and eukarya as well as chloroplasts and mitochondria. RNAcentral also lists the same sequence under 1 other name. Lineage: Bacteria; Pseudomonadati; Chrysiogenota; Chrysiogenia; Chrysiogenales; Chrysiogenaceae. The record is from Rfam by way of RNAcentral.